This 254-nucleotide ribosomal RNA is filed under the name uncultured bacterium. RNAcentral describes it as "partial 16S ribosomal RNA". It matches the Rfam family "Bacterial small subunit ribosomal RNA", at positions 524 to 776 of the family's 1533-position model. The record is from RNAcentral.
UACGGGGGGAGCAAGCGUUGUUCGGAUUUACUGGGCGUAAAGGGCGCGUAGGCGGCCACCGCAAGUCGACUGUGAAAUCUCCGGGCUUAACCCGGAAAGGUCAGCCGAUACUGCGGGGCUAGAGUGCAGAAGGGGCAACUGGAAUUCUCGGUGUAGCGGUGAAAUGCGUGGAUAUCGAGAGGAACACCUGCGGCGAAGGCGGGUUGCUGGGCUGACACUGACGCUGAUGUGCGAAAGCUAGGGGAGCAAACAGG